This 412-nucleotide ribosomal RNA is filed under the name Rhizophagus sp. CSD-2020a. Its description in RNAcentral is "partial large subunit ribosomal RNA". The record is from RNAcentral. Lineage: Eukaryota; Fungi; Glomeromycota; Glomeromycetes; Glomerales; Glomeraceae.
AGAGUUAAACAGUACGUGAAAUUGUUGAAAGGGAAACGAUUGAAGUCAGUCGUACCGGUGAGUAAUCAGCCAUUUGGGUGCGAUUGUGUGGGUGAUGAGGAGCCUUACCGCCUUCACGUCUGCAUAUUUGUGCUUUGUUGGUGCACUUACUCGUAUGGUAGGUCAACGUCAAUUUUGGUCGUCAUAAAAUGACGGGAGGAAUGUAGCUUUGAUCUCGUAUUAAAGUGUUAUAGCCUCUGGUAGAUAUGGUGACUAGGAUUGAGGAUUGCAACGAACCCUUCGGGGCCACCCGUCUGGUCUCUGGUGGUUACUCUGGUAUCGAAAGCUUGCUUAUGAUCAUCAAAGUUGGCUGCCAAAAGGUUAGAACGGGUUGAUUUCGUUAAGGAUGUUGACGUAAUGGCUUUAAACGACC